GACGAACGCUGGCGGCGUGCUUAACACAUGCAAGUCGAACGGAAAGGCCCUGCUUUUGUGGGGUGCUCGAGUGGCGAACGGGUGAGUAACACGUGAGUAACCUGCCCUUGACUUUGGGAUAACUUCAGGAAACUGGGGCUAAUACCGGAUAGGAGCUCCUGCUGCAUGGUGGGGGUUGGAAAGUUUCGGCGGUUGGGGAUGGACUCGCGGCUUAUCAGCUUGUUGGUGGGGUAGUGGCUUACCAAGGCUUUGACGGGUAGCCGGCCUGGGAGGGUGACCGGCCACAUUGGGACUGAGAUACGGCCCAGACUCCUACGGGCGGCAGCAGUGGGGAGUAUUGCACAAUGGGCGGAAGCCUGAUGCAGCAGCGCCGCGUGCGGGAUGACGGCCUUCGGGUUGUAAACCGCUUUCGCCUGUGACGAAGAGUGAGUGACGGUAAUGGGUAAAGAAGCACCGGCUAACUACGUG
Molecule: ribosomal RNA, 468 nt
Filed under: uncultured bacterium
Lineage: Bacteria
Description: partial 16S ribosomal RNA
Rfam family: Bacterial small subunit ribosomal RNA
Source: RNAcentral